UAGUCCACGCUGUAAACGAUGAUUACUCGGUGCUAGCGAUAUACUGUUAGUGCCUAAGCGAAAGCGAUAAGUAAUCCACCUGGGGAGUACGGUCGCAAGAUUGAAACUCAAAGGAAUUGACGGGGGCCCGCACAAGCGGUGGAGCAUGUGGUUUAAUUCGAUGAUACGCGAGGAACCUUACCUGGGCUUAAAUGUAUAUUGACAGAUUGGGAAACCAGUCCUUCUUCGGACAAUUUACAAGGUGCUGCAUGGUUGUCGUCAGCUCGUGCUGUGAGGUGUCGGGUUAAGUCCCAUAACGAGCGCAACCCCUAUCCUUAGUUGCCAGCGAGUAAUGUCGGGGACUCUAGGGAAACUGCCGGUGCAAACCGUGAGGAAGGUGGGGAUGACGUCAAAUCAUCACGGCCCUUACGUCCAGGGCUACACGCGUGCUACAAUGGGUGAGACAAUGAGAUGCAACUCUGUGAAGACAAGCUAAUCUAUAAACUUACUCUAAGUUCGGAUUGU
Molecule: ribosomal RNA, 504 nt
Filed under: uncultured bacterium
Lineage: Bacteria
Description: bacterial SSU rRNA
Rfam family: Bacterial small subunit ribosomal RNA
Source: RNAcentral